RNAcentral lists this ribosomal RNA (228 nucleotides) under uncultured Actinomycetales bacterium. RNAcentral describes it as "partial 16S ribosomal RNA". It matches the Rfam family "Bacterial small subunit ribosomal RNA", at positions 101 to 334 of the family's 1533-position model. Lineage: Bacteria; Bacillati; Actinomycetota; Actinomycetes; Actinomycetales. The record is from RNAcentral.
AAAAGGUAACACGUGAGUAACCUGCCCUUGACUUUGGGAUAACUUCAGGAAACUGGGGCUAAUACCGGAUAGGAGCUCCUGCUGCAUGGUGGGGGUUGGAAAGUUUCGGCGGUUGGGGAUGGACUCGCGGCUUAUCAGCUUGUUGGUGGGGUAGUGGCUUACCAAGGCUUUGACGGGUAGCCGGCCUGAGAGGGUGACCGGCCACAUUGGGACUGAGAUACGGCCCAG